Molecule: ribosomal RNA, 468 nt
Filed under: uncultured bacterium
Lineage: Bacteria
Description: partial 16S ribosomal RNA
Rfam family: Bacterial small subunit ribosomal RNA
Source: RNAcentral
GACGAACGCUGGCGGCGUGCUUAACACAUGCAAGUCGAACGGAAGGGCCCUGCUUUUGUGGGGUGCUCGAGUGGCGAACGGGUGAGUAACACGUGAGUAACCUGCCCUUGACUUUGGGAUAACUUCAGGAAACUGGGGCUAAUACCGGAUAGGAGCUCCUGCUGCAUGGUGUGGGUUGGAAAGUUUCGGCGGUUGGGGAUGGACUCGCGGCUUAUCAGCUUGUUGGUGGGGUAGUGGCUUACCAAGGCUUUGACGGGUAGCCGGCCUGAGAGGGUGACCGGCCACAUUGGGACUGAGAUACGGCCCAGACUCCUACGGGAGGCAGCAGUGGGGAAUAUUGCACAAUGGGCGGAAGCCUGAUGCAGCAACGCCGCGUGCGGGAUGACGGCCUUCGGGUUGUAAACCGCUUUCGCCUGUGACGAAGCGUGAGUGACGGUAAUGGGUAAAGAAGCACCGGCUAACUACGUG